AAAAGAUCCCACUCAUCCCACGGGAGAGAGGCUGUCAGAGAAUGUUGUCCUAAAAUUGAUGGAACCAUUUAUUGACCAGGGAAGGACUGUAACUAUGGACAUUUUCUUAACCCCUCUGUCUUUGGCUAACAGGCUUCUUCAAUGAAAAACAACUGUGCUUGGC
Molecule: long non-coding RNA, 163 nt
Organism: Thalassophryne amazonica
Lineage: Eukaryota; Metazoa; Chordata; Actinopteri; Batrachoidiformes; Batrachoididae
Exons: 3
Source: RefSeq, a predicted model, not a curated record